UAGCCUUGACAUAUUAUAGAAUUCAGUAGAGAUACAGAAGUGCCUUCGGGAGCUAUAUUACAGGUGCUGCACGGCUGUCGUCAGCUCGUGUCGUGAGAUGUUGGGUUAAGUCCCGCAACGAGCGCAACCCUCGUCCUUAGUUGCCAGCAGGUUAAGCUGGGCACUCUAAGGAGACUGCCUUCGUAAGGAGGAGGAAGGUGAGGACGACGUCAAGUCAUCAUGGCCCUUAUGGCUAGGGCUACACACGUGCUACAAUGGGGCGUACAGAGUGUUGCGAUACCGCGAGGUGGAGCUAAUCACUUAAAGCGUCUCUCAGUUCGGAUAGCAGUCUGCAACUCGACUGCUUGAAGCUGGAAUCACUAGUAAUCGUAGAUCAGCAAUGCUACGGUGAAUACGUUCCCGGGUCU
This 407-nucleotide ribosomal RNA is filed under the name uncultured bacterium. RNAcentral describes it as "bacterial SSU rRNA". It matches the Rfam family "Bacterial small subunit ribosomal RNA", at positions 976 to 1381 of the family's 1533-position model. The record is from RNAcentral.